AAUUUUAAUGAAGCAUCACAACGUCCCUGUUAUGAUGCAUAUGAAUUCUUGUUUCCGUGAAGCUGCCUAUGGGGAAAACCAUAAGCAGCUGAUGAUAUUUACCUCUAGAUGACACCAUGCUCAUAGGAAGUUGAUGUUAUUCACCUCUAGAUGACACCAUGCUCAUAGUAUGCUUUUCUUUCUACAGUCCUGAGGUUGGCUGUAAAUGUAGAGUAGUACUAGUAUCUAUUGACAGAUGAAUAUAUG
RNAcentral lists this long non-coding RNA (246 nucleotides) under Lathyrus oleraceus (garden pea). RNAcentral's name for it is "Pisum sativum (pea) long non-coding RNA (PSAT_LNC009898)". Lineage: Eukaryota; Viridiplantae; Streptophyta; Magnoliopsida; Fabales; Fabaceae. The record is from RNAcentral.